Molecule: unclassified non-coding RNA, 143 nt
Filed under: uncultured Mycosphaerellaceae
Lineage: Eukaryota; Fungi; Ascomycota; Dothideomycetes; Mycosphaerellales; Mycosphaerellaceae
Also listed under: 1 other name
Description: sequence contains ITS2
Source: RNAcentral
CACCACUCAAGCCUGGCUUGGUAUUGGGCGCCGCGGUGUUCCGCGCGCCUCAAAGUCUCCGGCUGAGCUGUCCGUCUCCAAGCGUUGUGAUUUCAUUAAUCGCUUCGGAGUGCGGGCGGCCGCGGCCGUUAAAUCUUUCACAA